RNAcentral lists this small nuclear RNA (20 nucleotides) under Arabidopsis thaliana (thale cress). RNAcentral describes it as "snRNA_00328". The record is from RNAcentral. Lineage: Eukaryota; Viridiplantae; Streptophyta; Magnoliopsida; Brassicales; Brassicaceae.
UUCCGUCCAAGGCUAAAUAC